AGUGAACGCUGGCGGUAGGCCUAACACAUGCAAGUCGAACGGCAGCACAGUAAGAGCUUGCUCUUACGGGUGGCGAGUGGCGGACGGGUGAGGAAUACAUCGGAAUCUACUUUUUCGUGGGGGAUAACGUAGGGAAACUUACGCUAAUACCGCAUACGACCUACGGGUGAAAGCAGGGGAUCUUCGGACCUUGCGCGAUUGAAUGAGCCGAUGUCGGAUUAGCUAGUUGGCGGGGUAAAGGCCCACCAAGGCGACGAUCCGUAGCUGGUCUGAGAGGAUGAUCAGCCACACUGGAACUGAGACACGGUCCAGACCCCUACGGGAGGCAGCAGUGGGGAAUAUUGGACAAUGGGCGCAUGCCUGAUCCAGCCAUACCGCGUGGGUGAAGAAGGCCUUCGGGUUGUAAAGCCCUUUUGUUGGGAAAGAAAAGCAGCAGGUUAAUACCCCGCUGUUCUGACGGUACCCAAAGAAUAAGCACCGGCUAACUUCGUG
This 492-nucleotide ribosomal RNA is filed under the name uncultured bacterium. Its description in RNAcentral is "partial 16S ribosomal RNA". It matches the Rfam family "Bacterial small subunit ribosomal RNA", at positions 29 to 507 of the family's 1533-position model. The record is from RNAcentral.